GAUGCCAUACCACUCUGAACACGUCCAACCUCGUCUGAUCUCGGAAGCUAAGCAGAGUCAGUUAGUACUUGGAUAGGAGACAAGACUGCUUUAAGGAGAAAGUAUCA
RNAcentral lists this ribosomal RNA (107 nucleotides) under Mus caroli (Ryukyu mouse). Its description in RNAcentral is "rRNA (MGP_CAROLIEiJ_G0034116.1)". Lineage: Eukaryota; Metazoa; Chordata; Mammalia; Rodentia; Muridae. The record is from RNAcentral.